Molecule: long non-coding RNA, 216 nt
Organism: Cynocephalus volans (Philippine flying lemur)
Lineage: Eukaryota; Metazoa; Chordata; Mammalia; Dermoptera; Cynocephalidae
Exons: 3
Source: RefSeq, a predicted model, not a curated record
UACAGAGCCCCCACCGAGAAGAAAGCCUUACUAGAUGCACCCCCUGGACCGUGGCCUUCCCAGCCUCCCAAACAGAUUCAGAAGCUAUUCAGGAGCAUUCCUACAUUAUGGCAACACAGAUAUUUACCUUUCUUCAGCCCUUUUCUGCCUAUAAAGGCAACCUCCCCUGCUCGGCUGAUUGGAGGACCUUUUCUAAAUUUUUAGAUGGGAUGCUGC